RNAcentral lists this microRNA precursor (63 nucleotides) under Monodelphis domestica (gray short-tailed opossum). RNAcentral describes it as "Mdo-Mir-27-P2_pre stem-loop". It matches the Rfam family "mir-27 microRNA precursor family", at positions 10 to 80 of the family's 80-position model. The record is from RNAcentral. Lineage: Eukaryota; Metazoa; Chordata; Mammalia; Didelphimorphia; Didelphidae.
AGAGCUUAGCCGAUUGGUGAACAGUCACUGAUUUCCUCUUUGUUCACAGUGGCUAAGUUCUGC